RNAcentral lists this ribosomal RNA (508 nucleotides) under uncultured bacterium. RNAcentral describes it as "partial 16S ribosomal RNA". It matches the Rfam family "Bacterial small subunit ribosomal RNA", at positions 28 to 507 of the family's 1533-position model. The record is from RNAcentral.
GACGAACGCUGGCGGCGUGCUUAACACAUGCAAGUCGAACGGGCCUUGUCCCCUUUUUUUUUGGGGGGGGGGGUAGUGGCGAACGGGUGAGUAACACGUGAGUAACCUGCCCCUCACUUCUGGAUAACCGCUUGAAAGGGUGGCUAAUACGGGGUGUUCUGGCCUGCUCGCAUGGGUGGGUUUGGAAAGAUUCGACCGGUUUUGGUUGUUUUGGUGGGGGAUGGGCUCGCGGCCUAUCAGCUUGUUGGUGGGGGGAUGGCCUGCCAAGGCCUUGACGGGUAGCCGGCCUGGGAGGGUGGGCAGUCACACUGGGACUGAGACACGGCCCAGACUCCUACGGGGGGCAGCAGUGGAGAAUAUUGCACGAUGGGCGCAAGCCUGAUGCAGCGACGCCGCGUGAGGGAUGGAGGCCUUCGGGUUGUGAACCUCUUUCGCCAGUGAAAAAGGUCCUGCUCUUUGUGGUGGGGUUGACGGUAGCUGGGUUAAUGAAGCGCCGGCUAACUACGUG